This 509-nucleotide ribosomal RNA is filed under the name uncultured Glomus. Its description in RNAcentral is "SSU rRNA". It matches the Rfam family "Eukaryotic small subunit ribosomal RNA", at positions 569 to 1081 of the family's 1831-position model. The record is from RNAcentral. Lineage: Eukaryota; Fungi; Glomeromycota; Glomeromycetes; Glomerales; Glomeraceae.
AGCAGCCGCGGUAAUUCCAGCUCCAAUAGCGUAUAUUAAAGUUGUUGCAGUUAAAAAGCUCGUAGUUGAAUUUCGGGAUCAAUACGUCGGUCGUGCCUCUGGUAUGUACUGGCGUUAUUGAUUUCUCCUUUCUGAUGAACCAUGAUGUCAUUAAUUUGGUGUCGUGGGAAGUCAGGACUGUUACUUUGAAAAAUUAGAGUGUUUAAAGCAGGCAUACGCUUGAAUACAUUAGCAUGGAAUAAUGAAAUAGGACGUUCGAACCUAUUUUGUUGGUUUCUAGGAUCAACGUAAUGAUUAAUAGGGAUAGUUGGGGGCAUUAGUAUUCAAUUGUCAGAGGUGAAAUUCUUGGAUUUAUUGAAGACUAACUACUGCGAAAGCAUUUGCCAAGGAUGUUUUCAUUAAUCAAGAACGAAAGUUAGGGGAUCGAAGACGAUCAGAUACCGUCGUAGUCUUAACCAUAAACUAUGCCGACUAGGGAUCGGAUGAUGUUAAUUUUUAAUGACUCAUUC